GAACUACUCUCUCCGUUCGAAAUUACUUGUCGCAGAAAUGAAUGUAUCUAGACGUAUUUUAGUUCUAGAUACAUCCAUUUCCGAGACAAGUAAUUCCAAACGGAGGGAGUAGAUG
Triticum aestivum (bread wheat) is the source of this 115-nucleotide non-coding RNA. The record is from Rfam. NCBI's taxonomy places the organism in Eukaryota, Viridiplantae, Streptophyta, Magnoliopsida, Poales, Poaceae.